Molecule: ribosomal RNA, 207 nt
Filed under: uncultured Staphylococcus sp.
Lineage: Bacteria; Bacillati; Bacillota; Bacilli; Caryophanales; Staphylococcaceae
Description: partial 16S ribosomal RNA
Rfam family: Bacterial small subunit ribosomal RNA
Source: RNAcentral
AAACCGGAGCUAAUACCGAUAAUAUAUUGAACCGCAUGGUUCAUGGUGAAAGACGGUUUUGCUGUCACUUAUAGAUGGAUCCGCGCCGCAUUAGCUAGUUGGUAAGGUAACGGCUUACCAAGGCAACGAUGCGUAGCCGACCUGAGAGGGUGAUCGGCCACACUGGAACUGAGAUACGGUCCAGACUCCUACGGGAGGCAGCAGCCC